UGUAGCUCAGUGGUAGUAGAGUGCUUGCCUAGUAUGCAUGAGUGCUGGGUUCAACGCCCAGCA
Molecule: transfer RNA, 63 nt
Filed under: Cavia porcellus (domestic guinea pig)
Lineage: Eukaryota; Metazoa; Chordata; Mammalia; Rodentia; Caviidae
Rfam family: tRNA
About the family: Transfer RNA (tRNA) molecules are approximately 80 nucleotides in length. Their secondary structure includes four short double-helical elements and three loops (D, anti-codon, and T loops). Further hydrogen bonds mediate the characteristic L-shaped molecular structure. tRNAs have two regions of fundamental functional importance: the anti-codon, which is responsible for specific mRNA codon recognition, and the 3' end, to which the tRNAs corresponding amino acid is attached (by aminoacyl-tRNA synthetases). tRNAs cope with the degeneracy of the genetic code in two manners: having more than one tRNA (with a specific anti-codon) for a particular amino acid; and 'wobble' base-pairing, i.e. permitting non-standard base-pairing at the 3rd anti-codon position.
Source: Rfam by way of RNAcentral